This 492-nucleotide ribosomal RNA is filed under the name uncultured bacterium. RNAcentral describes it as "partial 16S ribosomal RNA". It matches the Rfam family "Bacterial small subunit ribosomal RNA", at positions 29 to 507 of the family's 1533-position model. The record is from RNAcentral.
AGUGAACGCUGGCGGUAGGCCUAACACAUGCAAGUCGAACGGCAGCACAGUAAGAGCUUGCUCUUACGGGUGGCGAGUGGCGGACGGGUGAGGAAUACAUCGGAAUCUACUUUUUCGUGGGGGAUAACGUAGGGAAACUUACGCUAAUACCGCAUACGACCUACGGGUGAAAGCAGGGGAUCUUCGGACCUUGCGCGAUUGAAUGAGCCGAUGUCGGAUUAGCUAGUUGGCGGGGUAAGGGCCCACCAAGGCGACGAUCCGUAGCUGGUCUGAGAGGAUGAUCAGCCACACUGGAACUGAGACACGGUCCAGACUCCUACGGGAGGGAGCAGUGGGGAAUAUUGGACAAUGGGCGCAAGCCUGAUCCAGCCAUCCCGCGUGGGUGAAGAAGGCCUUCGGGUUGUAAAGCCCUUUUGUUGGGAAAGAAAAGCAGCAGGUUAAUACCCCGCUGUUCUGACGGUACCCAAAGAAUAAGCACCGGCUAACUUCGUG